RNAcentral lists this long non-coding RNA (1136 nucleotides) under Zostera marina. RNAcentral's name for it is "long non-coding RNA (ZMAR_LNC000795)". The record is from RNAcentral. Lineage: Eukaryota; Viridiplantae; Streptophyta; Magnoliopsida; Alismatales; Zosteraceae.
CUUUCAUGCUCUUAUUGAUAUCCUGCGAAACUAGUUAAAUUACCAUUACAUUCAGUUGUCUCUUUACUUUUUUAUGUCUUUACAAAUGGUAACAUAUAUAAUCUAAGCUAAUCCAUGUCUUUUAUCAUAUAAUAUUUCGUUCAAGCUGAUUUCGUAUCUCCAAACUCCAAUGUCUUUAUCUAUUUUCAUUGUGCAGGAUACAUAUACCUCACCAUCCUGUGCACCUAAUGAAGGAUGAGAAUUCAACAUGUAUUGUACUUACAAAUUGGUAUAAGAUGCUUAAUGCAAUGAUAAUAUGUUCAAAUUCAGUCAUAAAAAAGAUAUUGAUUCUUUAUUCUUGGGGUAAAAAAGAAAAUACUUAAUCCUCGACCUUCUUUAUUCGAUAUUUGUGUCUUUUUUUAUCUUGCUUCUAUCGAUGUCUGAUUUUGGAGAGAUUUCCGUGCCACAGAAACCAUGUAAUUGGAUGUCAAAUGAUGAAUCUCUUUCUCUAUUUAUAGACUUAUGAGAGGGCAAAUGAGCCAUUCAUUUUACAUGGAAAGGGAUCAACCCCAAAUUUCAAUCGAUCGACUUGGGAUCCGGUCGAUUCUCCUGAGGUGGUCGUUGUACGAUGUUCAGAAUAUUUCGCAUGGUGGGAGACCUCGAGAUACAUGCAAAUACGUAAGAAAGAACUAGUUCGGCGUAUUAGUUGUAUAUUUAUAAUAUUUUUUCAAUCUCUCUUCAUUUAUAUAUCAUAUGGAAUGGUGACGUAGCAAUCUAGGGUUGUCCUCACCAGUAUUGAUUCCUCACUUUUUUGGUUUGGUCUUACAUAUUUCUACUGUUACUGGCUCGAAGCUCAAACUCGGCACGAGAUCAAGCUUGUGAACUUAUAGAGUCGUGGUUUUGUCUAAGAUCUAGGCUGGUCGUUAAGCUUAUUUGUAUCCCUAGGAAGUAGUGACAGACAAUUCCAAAAAUUUACCUUUCCAAUUCCAUGCAUAACUGGCCCAAGUCGGCUCGCAGCCUCGUGGAACUCCUCGGGUGUUUUUAUCUAGAAGGUUAUCGUUUAGUGGCUACAGUUGGGGACAGGACAGCAGAUUGAUUUUAAAAACAUGUGAGGUGUCCGGAGAGCUAGUCUCCCCUUAAGGAAUUCCAGCGAGGGG